Molecule: ribosomal RNA, 253 nt
Filed under: uncultured bacterium
Lineage: Bacteria
Description: partial 16S ribosomal RNA
Rfam family: Bacterial small subunit ribosomal RNA
Source: RNAcentral
UACGUAGGGGGCAAGCGUUGUCCGGAUUUAUUGGGCGUAAAGAGCGCGUAGGCGGCUUUACAGGUCCGUUGUGAAAACUCGAGGCUCAACCUCGAGACGCCGGUGGAAACCGUAAAGCUAGAGUCCGGAAGAGGAGAGUGGAAUUCCUGGUGUAGCGGUGAAAUGCGCAGAUAUCAGGAAGAACACCCGUGGCGAAGGCGGCUCUCUGGGACGGUACUGACGCUGAGACGCGAAAGCGUGGGGAGCGAACAGG